CGAUUUCGACUUGCUGCGGACUGAUGAAAUGCACAUGCGAAUCCACGCCGCCGGCCGUUACGAUCAAGUUCUCUCCGGAGAUGACUUCCGUGCCCACGCCGAUGAUCAUGCCGUCGGUGACACCAUCCAUCAUAAGCGGAUUACCUGCUUUUCCGAUGCCGCUGAUGUACCCGUCCUUAAUCCCGAUGUCCGCUUUCACGAUUCCCCAGGUAUCCACAAUGAUGGCAUUCGUAAUGACCAGAUCCAGUGCCCCUUCCGCUCGGGUCGCGAGCGGAUGCUGUCCCAUGCCGUCACG
Paenibacillus sp. Y412MC10 is the source of this 295-nucleotide non-coding RNA. Lineage: Bacteria; Bacillati; Bacillota; Bacilli; Caryophanales; Paenibacillaceae. The record is from Rfam.